UUGCAGUGCAUUUGUACGGAAUGGGAUCGUUUGCGUACGUUUGCCGCUAGGGGCGCUGUUCCAACUGCAUACAAAUAUGAGCUA
RNAcentral lists this microRNA precursor (84 nucleotides) under Bombyx mori (domestic silkworm). RNAcentral describes it as "mir-2807 microRNA precursor family". It matches the Rfam family "mir-2807 microRNA precursor family". The record is from Rfam by way of RNAcentral. Lineage: Eukaryota; Metazoa; Arthropoda; Insecta; Lepidoptera; Bombycidae.